Molecule: ribosomal RNA, 406 nt
Filed under: uncultured bacterium
Lineage: Bacteria
Description: partial 16S ribosomal RNA
Rfam family: Bacterial small subunit ribosomal RNA
Source: RNAcentral
AUUGAACGCUGGCGGCAGGCCUAACACAUGCAAGUCGAACGAGUGGCGGACGGGUGAGUAAUGUCUGGGAAACUGCCAGAUGGAGGGGGAAAACUACUGGAAACGGUAGCUAAUACCGCAUACCAUGAGAUGUGCCCAGAUGGGAUGAGCUAGUUGGUGGGGUAACGGCUCACCAAGGCGAAGAUCCCUAGCUGGUCGGAGGGGAUGACCAGCCACACUGGAACUGAGACACGGCCCAGACUCCGACGGGAGGCAGCAGUGGGGAAUAUUGCACAAUGGGCGCAAGCCUGAUGCAGCCAUGCCGCGUGUAUGAAGAGGGCCUUCGGGUUGUAAAGUACUUUCAGCGGGGAGGCGUUACCCGCAGAAGAAGCACCGGCUAACUCCGUGCCAGCAGCCGCGGUAAUUC